RNAcentral lists this ribosomal RNA (513 nucleotides) under Debaryomyces hansenii. Its description in RNAcentral is "eukaryotic LSU rRNA". It matches the Rfam family "Eukaryotic large subunit ribosomal RNA", at positions 1 to 481 of the family's 3401-position model. Lineage: Eukaryota; Fungi; Ascomycota; Pichiomycetes; Serinales; Debaryomycetaceae. The record is from RNAcentral.
UAUUGUGUGGAAGUGGAGCGGAAGGACAAAAAGCACACGACACACUUCGUUUGCAUAUUUCCUUAGCGGAGGAAAAGAAACCAACAGGGAUUGCCUUAGUAACGGCGAGUGAAGCGGCAAAAGCUCAAAUUUGAAAUCUGGCACCUUCGGUGUCCGAGUUGUAAUUUGAAGAAGGUAACUUUGGAGUUGGCUCUUGUCUAUGUUCCUUGGAACAGGACGUCACAGAGGGUGAGAAUCCCGUGCGAUGAGAUGCCCAAUUCUAUGUAAAGUGCUUUCGAAGAGUCGAGUUGUUUGGGAAUGCAGCUCUAAGUGGGUGGUAAAUUCCAUCUAAAGCUAAAUAUUGGCGAGAGACCGAUAGCGAACAAGUACAGUGAUGGAAAGAUGAAAAGAACUUUGAAAAGAGAGUGAAAAAGUACGUGAAAUUGUUGAAAGGGAAGGGCUUGAGAUCAGACUUGGUAUUUUGCGAUCCUUUCCUUCUUGGUUGGGUUCCUCGCAGCUUACUGGGCCAGCAUC